This 425-nucleotide ribosomal RNA is filed under the name uncultured bacterium. RNAcentral describes it as "partial 16S ribosomal RNA". It matches the Rfam family "Bacterial small subunit ribosomal RNA", at positions 354 to 796 of the family's 1533-position model. The record is from RNAcentral.
GUGGGGAAUAUUGCACAAUGGAGGAAACUCUGAUGCAGCGACGCCGCGUGAGUGAAGAAGUAGUUCGCUAUGUAAAGCUCUAUCAGCAGGGAAGAUAGUGACGGUACCUGACUAAGAAGCUCCGGCUAAAUACGUGCCAGCAGCCGCGGUAAUACGUAUGGAGCAAGCGUUAUCCGGAUUUACUGGGUGUAAAGGGAGUGUAGGUGGCCAGGCAAGUCAGAAGUGAAAGCCCGGGGCUCAACCCCGGGACUGCUUUUGAAACUGCAGGGAUAGAGUGCAGGAGGGGCAAGUGGAAUUCCUAGUGUAGCGGUGAAAUGCGUAGAUAUUAGGAGGAACACCAGUGGCGAAGGCGGCUUGCUGGACUGUAACUGACACUGAGGCUCGAAAGCGUGGGGAGCAAACAGGAUUAGAUACCCGUGUAGUCC